UCUUGAACCUCAAGUGGUCUCGUUUCACCCGUGUGGUCUUCACACGGACAGUCGCGAUUACCCCUACGUUGUUGGUGGCUGUUUUCCAAACUGUGGACACACUGACAGGAAUGAAUGACUUGCUGAAUGUUCUGAUGAGUUUGCAGAGUAUGGAAGAUCAUCGGGGGAUUUAUCAUUCUGAUCAUCUGCUGCAUUAACGUAUAUUUUGUGAUCGAUUACGUGAGGAGUCUCCACAUGGUCGUGUUCUAUGCCGUGGCAGCAAUCAUAGCGGUCGCCUAUCUGGCUUUUAUAUGUUACUUGGUGUGGUUUUGUUUGGUAGCGAUGGGUGUCCAGACCUUAGCCUGUGAGUGUGCAAGUCAGUGCGAGCAAGAUGAUGAUCUUGGAAGGUCAGAAGCAGAUGUUCUAUCGGAUAGUACCACUACGCUCAGCAGACAGUAGCACCUUCCAUUGAAGACUGUAUCGAGGGGAGUUAUCUUGCUGACAGAACCGUUUUCAAAUGGGUGUGAGUCAACGUAUUUGCUUCAAAUAAAUGAUUGUCACGAAUCACAAUGAGGAGUUGUAUUGGUACCCGAUUCAGAAGACGAUGAUGAUGAGAUUUGAUUUUAACGACAAGCAAAAGUCAUAAUUUCCACUUGACUUCUAUCUGACCACUGGAACCGAAGAUGCAAUCAUGGGAUCAGGGGGUGAAACCAAUGCCACCCUGUUAUGAUGCCAAUGAUGCCAGUGGGCAGUGCUAGUGACGUUGAAUUUCUGAGGUGUUUUCUCUGCGCUUAGUUGUGUUAUUGGAGGCUAACCUGCCUCCAGCUGGGCCCAAGUCAGAUGUAUAUUAAAAUAUUUAAUGAAUUGAUCCCUUUCACAGCAGACUGAAAGGGGCGUCCUGGGAAAUUCAAGGUGCCUCACCUGUGGUAGGGAGUCACCUGAUUGUCAGGCUACCGAAGGGUGGCGAGCACGUGUGUUCACACAGAGAGACCCUGGACCAUGUAAAUGUCAGUAAGCUUCUCAGCGUCACUCGGAAUGGUUUCAUCUUACAGCUCCCAG
Molecule: long non-coding RNA, 1038 nt
Organism: Rhincodon typus (whale shark)
Lineage: Eukaryota; Metazoa; Chordata; Chondrichthyes; Orectolobiformes; Rhincodontidae
Exons: 3
Source: RefSeq, a predicted model, not a curated record